RNAcentral lists this non-coding RNA (21 nucleotides) under Caenorhabditis elegans. Lineage: Eukaryota; Metazoa; Nematoda; Chromadorea; Rhabditida; Rhabditidae. The record is from RNAcentral.
UCGUAACUUAUUGUCGUCCUU